Molecule: unclassified non-coding RNA, 374 nt
Filed under: Hevea brasiliensis (rubber tree)
Lineage: Eukaryota; Viridiplantae; Streptophyta; Magnoliopsida; Malpighiales; Euphorbiaceae
Source: RNAcentral
UAAGAAUAGCAACUGGCUAGCACAACAUAGUGCUGGGGUUAUGGCGGAUCUGGAUUUCUUUGUUGGGGAAGAGGCAGUGACUAGAUCUAAAUCUAGUAAUACUUAUAAUCUUAGUUAUCCUAUUAAACAUGGUCAGGUUGAUAAUUGGGAUGCUAUGGAGCGUUUUUGGCAGCAGUGUAUAUUUAAUUACCUUCGUUGUGACCCUGAAGAUCACUAUUUUUUGUUGACUGAAAGCCCUAUGACUGCACCGGAAAGUCGAGAAUAUACAGGGGAGAUUAUGUUUGAGACUUUCAAUAUACCAGGGCUUUAUAUUGCGGUGCAGCCGGUGCUUGCUUUGGCAGCUGGGUACACAACAUCUAAGUGUGAGAUGACUG